GCCUCAGUAACUGCGAGUGAAGCGGCAAAAGCUCAAAUUUGAAAUCUGGUACCUUUGGGUGCUCGAGUUGUAAUUUGGAGAGGCAACUUCGAAGGAGGCGCUGGCCUAAGUUCCUUGGAACAGGACGUCACAGAGGGUGAGAAUCCCGUGCUUGGCUGGCUGUCCUCCUUCAUGUGAAGUGUCUUCGACGAGUCGAGUUGUUUGGGAAUGCAGCUCAAAAUGGGUGGUAAACUCCAUCUAAGGCUAAAUAUUGGCGAGAGACCGAUAGCGCACAAGUAGAGUGAUCGAAAGAUGAAAAGCACUUUGAAAAGAGAGUUAAACAGUACGUGAAAUUGUUGAAAGGGAAGCGCUUGAGACCAGACUCGGUGAUAGGUGAUCAGCGGUUGCUUUUGCUCCGUGCACUUGCCUUUUAUCGGGCCAGCAUCAGUUGCGACGGUGGGAUAAAGACUCAGGGAAUGUGGCUCUCUUCGGGGAGUGUUAUAGCCCUGGGUGUAAUGCCACCUGUUGCGACUGAGGACCGCGCUUCGGCUAGGAUGCUGGCAUAAUGGUCUUCAGCGACCCGUCUUGAAACACGGACCAAGGAGUCUAACAUCUAUGCGAGUGUUCGGGUGUAAAACCCCUACGCGUAAUGAAAGUGAACGGAGGUGGGAACUCUUCGGAGUGCACCAUCGACCGAUCCUGAUGUCUUCGGAUGGAUUUGAGUAGGAGCAUAGCUGUUGGGACCCGAAAGAUGGUGAACUAUGCCUGAAUAGGGUGAAGCCAGAGGAAACUCUGGUGGAGGCUCGCAGCGGUUCUGACGUGCAAAUCGAUCGUCAAAUUUGGGUAUAGGGG
This 831-nucleotide ribosomal RNA is filed under the name Plectania zugazae. RNAcentral's name for it is "LSU rRNA". It matches the Rfam family "Eukaryotic large subunit ribosomal RNA", at positions 77 to 923 of the family's 3401-position model. Lineage: Eukaryota; Fungi; Ascomycota; Pezizomycetes; Pezizales; Sarcosomataceae. The record is from RNAcentral.